Molecule: ribosomal RNA, 253 nt
Filed under: uncultured bacterium
Lineage: Bacteria
Description: partial 16S ribosomal RNA
Rfam family: Bacterial small subunit ribosomal RNA
Source: RNAcentral
UACGAAGGGGGCAAGCGUUAUUCGGAAUGAUUGGGCGUAAAGGACACGUAGGCGGUUUUGUAAGUUUUGGGUGAAAUCCCCGGGCUCAACCCGGGAACUGCUCAAGAUACUGCAAGACUUGAGUAUGGGAGAGGAUAGUGGAAUCUUUGGUGUAGAGGUGAAAUUCUUAGAUAUCAGAGAGAACGUCGGUGGCGAAAGCGACUAUCUGGAACAUUACUGACGCUGAGGUGUGAAGGCGUGGGGAGCAAAUCGG